This is a long non-coding RNA of Zingiber officinale, 814 nucleotides long. RefSeq lists it as uncharacterized. The transcript is spliced from 4 exons. NCBI's taxonomy places the organism in Eukaryota, Viridiplantae, Streptophyta, Magnoliopsida, Zingiberales, Zingiberaceae. The record is from RefSeq and is a predicted model, not a curated record.
CUUUUCCCUCCGUUACUGUGUCGUUUCCUUCUUCCUUUUUCCCCCGCGAGUCGUGCCCUACUUCACGCCGAUUCCCCCUUUGCCUCUUCCUCUUAGCCACUACCCUAGUGCCGGCGCCACCUCUUCUCUUCUCCUCUGCGCGCCGACGCCGACCCAGCACCCCGUCGGUCGAGCCUCCUUCCCGAUCUUACCUCCCUCUCCUCUCCAGCGACGCCGAUUUGAUUGUCGAGUGCCACCCGAAUGCUGGUCGUCGUCUACUUCUUGCCCUAGUCGUCUCCACCACCGUUUGCUACGGUCGAUCACCGCCGGUGUUCUUCCAUGCCCUAGCGCUGAAUGCCGGCAGCCGAAUAAUUUCAUCUACCCUAGUUUGGAUCAAAAGCCCUCUCCGCCGCUGAGAUCAGGAACGCGCCGACGACGUUCAAGCCACUGCCGACCCCCUCCUCUGCGCCCUAACUCCCUGAUUUGAGGAGUUUCCUCUUCUGUAAUUGCCCUAGCUUCGAGUCUAACUCAGCCAUCGAUCGCCUCUUCUGGCCCAAGAAGAUCCCUACCACAGUGUACCGGCUUUCUUGAGAUGAAUUGGUUGUUGGAUGGAUUCAUCACUGCUGGAGAAUGUGUCAAGUGUUGUGCUAGUGAGGUGUUGUUAGCCAUUGCAACUCUAGCUAUGUUGUUCGUGGACGAUCCAUGGCUUCGGCCAACCUUCCGAUCUAAAGUCAUCCUUUGAUGGUGAGCUAUCAACAACCCACUUGAAUUCGGGAUUUGAGUUGGAUGCGAUCUCUUGGACUUGUUGAGGACGGUUGAUACGACCUGCGUAUGA